AGCUACAGGCCUAACACAUGCAAGUCGAGGGGAAACGGCAGCUUAGCUUGCUAAGCUGGACGUCGACCGGCGCACGGGUGAGUAACGCGUAUCCAACCUGCCCCACGGUGAGGGAUAACCCGCGGAAACGCGGCCUAAUACCUCAUGGUCUCCGAGCUUGACAUCAACCUUGGAGUAAAGAUUCAUUGCCGUGGGAUGGGGAUGCGUCUGAUUAGCUUGUUGGCGGGGCAACGGCCCACCAAGGCGACGAUCAGUAGGGGUUCUGAGAGGAAAGCCCCCCACAUUGGAACUGAGACACGGUCCAAACUCCUACGGGAGGCAGCAGUGAGGAAUAUUGGUCAAUGGGCGAGAGCCUGAACCAGCCAAGUAGCGUGCAGGAUGACGGCCCUAUGGGUUGUAAACUGCUUUUAUGCGGGGAUAAAGCGGGCGACGUGUCGCCCUUUGCAGGUACCGCAUGAAUAAGGACCGGCUAAUUCCGUGCCAGCAGCCGCGGUAAUACGGAAGGUCCGGGCGUUAUCCGGAUUUAUUGGGUUUAAAGGGAGCGCAGGCCGGGUAUUAAGCGUGUUGUGAAAUGUAGGCGCCCAACGUCUGCACCGCAGCGCGAACUGGUGCCCUUGAGUACGCACGACGUUGGCGGAAUUCGCCGUGUAGCGGUGAAAUGCUUAGAUAUGGCGAAGAACUCCGAUUGCGAAGGCAGCUGACGGGAGCGCUACUGACGCUCAUGCUCGAAAGCGCGGGUAUCGAACAGGAUUAGAUACCCUGGUAGUCCGCGCGGUAAACGAUGGAUGCCCGCUAUUUGCGCAUUAGCGCAAGUGGCCAAGUGAAAACGUUAAGCAUCCCACCUGGGGAGUACGCAGGCAACGGUGAAACUCAAAGGAAUUGACGGGGGCCCGCACAAGCGGAGGAACAUGUGGUUUAAUUCGAUGAUACGCGAGGAACCUUACCCGGGCUUGAAUUGCAGAGGAAAGAUCCAGAGAUGGUGAUGCCCUUCGGGGCCUCUGUGAAGGUGCUGCAUGGUUGUCGUCAGCUCGUGCCGUGAGGUGUCGGCUUAAGUGCCAUAACGAGCGCAACCCCUCUCCAUAGUUGCCAUCAGGUAGUGCUGGGCACUCAGUGGACACUGCCACCGUAAGGUGCGAGGAAGGUGGGGA
RNAcentral lists this ribosomal RNA (1148 nucleotides) under uncultured bacterium. Its description in RNAcentral is "bacterial SSU rRNA". It matches the Rfam family "Bacterial small subunit ribosomal RNA", at positions 38 to 1179 of the family's 1533-position model. The record is from RNAcentral.